This is an RNA transcript of Solenopsis invicta (red fire ant), 1575 nucleotides long. It is a transcript of the gene named 15-hydroxyprostaglandin dehydrogenase [NAD(+)]-like, with no coding region annotated. The transcript is spliced from 3 exons. The record is from RefSeq and is a predicted model, not a curated record. NCBI's taxonomy places the organism in Eukaryota, Metazoa, Arthropoda, Insecta, Hymenoptera, Formicidae.
CUGAUAAUUGACUUGGGGAAGACCAACUUCACGGAGGUCAACUUAUGGAUCCAAAACAUGUUAUCUCUUUUCAAUUUAUGCGUGAGCUGUAUCCCACUCCUCGAAUGAAUCUAUAGGACUUUUUUAAUAGGAAAUCUUUACGCACACAUGCGUCGAACGACGAACGCCCGGCUAUAAAAAGUGCAGGUGUUGGCAUUCAUGCAGUAUUGGUCGAAACGAGUUACGCGGCAAAUCAUCGAUUAUAUCUGCAGUUCAACAAUUUUCAACAAAGUUUAACCAAACAUUGAACGUGUCAUACAAUCGAGUGUCGACAAACGAAACGAGUGAUUUUUGAAAAACGACAAGAAUCAUAUCUUACAAGCAUUUUACAAGAAGAAAUCAUUGAAUCACAAUGUACAACGUACAGAAUAAAACUGCAAUGAUCACUGGAGCGGCUACUGGAAUAGGCUACAAGUGUGCCAAAAUAUUGCUUCGCAAUGGUGCAAAAAAGGUUGCCAUAGUCGAUUUAUCAACAUCGGAAGGUCAGAAUGCGGCGGCUACCUUGGAAAAUAAAUUUGGAAAAGAUCGUGCCGUCUUUAUUGCCUGUGACGUGUCAAAGAACGAUGACUUAAAAAAGACAUUUGAGAAGAUUGUCGAUUUAUUUGAAGGGCUCGACAUUUUGAUUAACAACGCCGGUAUAGUCAAUGAUGUGCUUUGGAAAGAAACAAUUGAAAUUAAUUUCAAUGCGGUAGUCUAUGGAUCUAUGUUGGCGUUUGACUAUAUGGGAAAACACAAAGGCGGCAAGGGCGGGGUAAUUGUGAACAUGUCAUCCGUAGCCGGAUUAGACCCAAAAUCUCUUUUUCCAAUAUAUUCCGCUACAAAGCAUGCUGUUUUGAGCUUCAGCCAAUCUUUGGCAAAAACAUACAAUAAAUCUGGAGUAAGAGUCGUUGUUAUGUGCCCGGGGGGUACAAUAACAAAAGUAGUCGGCAUAAAUGUAAAAGCUAAAAUGUCCGAUUCUAUUAAAUCUACGAUAGGCAAUAGUUUCUACACUUCUAUAACAAAAGGAGUGUUCACGAUGCAAACACCCGAACAUGUAGCACUUGCAAUGCUAGAACUUAUUCAGAAGGGUGAAUCCGGAGCGGUUUGGGUCAGCGAAAAUCGUCAGCCGCCAUACGCCGUAGACUUUCCUCAUUAUUCCAAGCGAUCUCGACCUAUAUAAAGACGGUUCGUUAAAAGAAGGAAGAGCUACCUUGCGCAUGAAAAUGACUUUGAAGGAAGAGAAGCAAGGUUCUGUUGCAUACAGGAUAAAAUAUUUGUCACACCACCGAACUGGUAACAAAUGUGUAUUUAUCUCACUUACGAUUGCACCCAUUGCUUGUGCAACUGCAUUGAAAAUAUUACAUUCCCCAUAGAGGUGAAUGAAUUUGGCGUCAACAAUGUGAAAGAUUUAAUACCAAAUAGACGUAAUAUAGUCCCUCCGUAACAGAGCAGAUCUCCGUAGGUCGUCCCCUGGAUAAAGUGUGCUGUUAGGAAUUAUUGUUACAGAAGAGACCAAACUCGAAUAUAUUAGGUCAAAUGAAAAUGACUGGAGCAAUU